UAAAAGUUUGAUUUUUGAUUUUAAACUUUUUUUUUAGUUUAAUGUGCAUGUAAAAUUUUAUGAGUUUGUAUUUUCUAAAUGAUUAAUAUAUUAUUUUCAGUGCUUGUUAUUUAUUUAUUAUUAAUUUAAUUUAAGUAAAUCUAUUGAGAACUAAAAAAUGUUGUGCCAGCAUUUGCGGUUAAACAACAGGUUCAUGAAAAGUAUUAUUGGAAUUACAGUUUAAUAUAUUUUAAUUUUUGGUAUUUGGGUGAAAUUUAUAUCUUUUUUUUUUUUAUUGCUGUUUAAGAUUGAUAAAAAACCAGGAUUAGAUACCCUGUUAUUCAAUUAAAGUUAUUUCCAAGGUAGUAGAUUUAAAGUUUGAAAUUUAAUGAAUCUGGCGGUUUUUAAAUCUUUUUAGAGGAACCUGUAAUUUAAAUGAUAGUCCACGAUUAAUUUUACCUUUAAUUUCUUGUAUAUCGCUGUCGUUGAAUGUAAUGAAAAUUUAUUUUCUUUUUCUUUUGAAGAUUUAUGUUAGGUCAAGGUGCAGUUAUUUAAAGGUUAUUAUGGGUUACAUUAUUUUUUGUUUUUUGAUAGUUUAUUUGAUUAAAUUUUGAUUUUGGAUUUAAAAGUAAUUUUGUUUAUUAAGUAUUUUGAAUUUAAGCUCUUAAUUAUGUACAUAUCGCCCGUCACUCUCAAUUAAUUGAGAUAAGUCGUAACAAAGUAGAUGUACUGGAAAGUGUAUCUAGAAUC
RNAcentral lists this non-coding RNA (729 nucleotides) under Orthopagus splendens. Lineage: Eukaryota; Metazoa; Arthropoda; Insecta; Hemiptera; Dictyopharidae. The record is from RNAcentral.